RNAcentral lists this ribosomal RNA (427 nucleotides) under uncultured bacterium. RNAcentral's name for it is "partial 16S ribosomal RNA". It matches the Rfam family "Bacterial small subunit ribosomal RNA", at positions 355 to 774 of the family's 1533-position model. The record is from RNAcentral.
UGGGGAAUUUUGGACAAUGGGCGAAAGCCUGAUCCAGCAAUGCCGCGUGAGUGAAGAAGGCCUUCGGGUUGUAAAGCUCUUUUGUCAGGGAAGAAACGGUGAGGGCUAAUAUCCCUUGCUAAUGACGGUACCUGAAGAAUAAGCACCGGCUAACUACGUGCCAGCAGCCGCGGUAAUACGUAGGGUGCAAGCGUUAAUCGGAAUUACUGGGCGUAAAGCGUGCGCAGGCGGUUUUGUAAGUCUGAUGUGAAAUCCCCGGGCUCAACCUGGGAAUUGCAUUGGAGACUGCAAGGCUAGAAUCUGGCAGAGGGGGGUAGAAUUCCACGUGUAGCAGUGAAAUGCGUAGAUAUGUGGAGGAACACCGAUGGCGAAGGCAGCCCCCUGGGUCAAGAUUGACGCUCAUGCUCGAAAGCGUGGGGAGCAAACA